CGGCGAGCGAAGCGGGAAGAGCUCAAAUUUAUAAUCUGGCACCUUCGGUGUCCGAGUUGUAAUCUCUAGAAAUGUUUUCCGCGUUGGACCGCACACAAGUCUGUUGGAAUACAGCGGCAUAGUGGUGAGACCCCCGUAUAUGGUGCGGACGCCCAGCGCUUUGUGAUACAUUUUCGAAGAGUCGAGUUGUUUGGGAAUGCAGCUCAAAUUGGGUGGUAAAUUCCAUCUAAAGCUAAAUAUUGGCGAGAGACCGAUAGCGAACAAGUACCGUGAGGGAAAGAUGAAAAGCACUUUGGAAAGAGAGUUAACAGUACGUGAAAUUGUUGGAAGGGAAACGCUUGAAGUCAGACUUGCUUGCCGAGCAAUCGGUUUGCAGGCCAGCAUCAGUUUUCCGGGAUGGAUAAUGGUAGAGAGAAGGUAGCAGUUUCGGCUGUGUUAUAGCUCUCUGCUGGAUACAUCUUGGGGGACUGAGGAACGCAGUGUGCCUUUGGCGGGGGUUUCGACCUCUUCACACUUAGGAUGCUGGUGGAAUGGCUUUAAACGACCCGUCUU
RNAcentral lists this ribosomal RNA (552 nucleotides) under Rhodotorula mucilaginosa. Its description in RNAcentral is "LSU rRNA". It matches the Rfam family "Eukaryotic large subunit ribosomal RNA", at positions 87 to 655 of the family's 3401-position model. The record is from RNAcentral. Lineage: Eukaryota; Fungi; Basidiomycota; Microbotryomycetes; Sporidiobolales; Sporidiobolaceae.